GACAGUGGUAGUUCAGUGGUUAAGCUGUUGGACUGCUGAUCAUACGGUUGUGAGUUCAAGUCCCUGCACUGCCA
Molecule: non-coding RNA, 74 nt
Organism: Pangasius djambal
Lineage: Eukaryota; Metazoa; Chordata; Actinopteri; Siluriformes; Pangasiidae
Source: the annotation of a GenBank genome assembly